Molecule: long non-coding RNA, 149 nt
Organism: Xiphophorus couchianus (Monterrey platyfish)
Lineage: Eukaryota; Metazoa; Chordata; Actinopteri; Cyprinodontiformes; Poeciliidae
Exons: 4
Source: RefSeq, a predicted model, not a curated record
UUAUCAAGUAUUUUUGGUCAAGUUUCUAGUGCAAAUAUCUCAGCUCACUUAAAAGACGAUAAAACUAACUUGCAAGCAUCUUUUCAGUAAGAUGUAAGAGCUUGUUUUAAGCAAAUAAUUCCUUGAUAUUGAUGAAAAAGUAUUAUUUC